UGCAUAAACUGCAAAAUCGAUAGCAGAGGGCCUUUUCCUUGCAUCAAAGGGGAAGUGCGUUGCUCCCCCUGUGGCCAGGACGUUUAGCCUACUGUUUGAAUGGAUGGCUUCCAUUAGAACUCUCCCCCUUUUGCAUGAUCUAGCGUUACCCCACCAUUGGUGUUUGGCAUUAAAAUCUCCUCCUAUUAUAAAUUUAGAGCCAGAGCAGAGAUUUCCCAUAUAGAUAAAGAGUUUUUUAAAAUGUUGUGCCGUCCAAGUGGCAGUUGGCGGGCAGUAUAUAGGUGCUAUUGCAAUUACCUCGUUGUUACUUGUAGUUAGCGCUAUUGGGGCACAUUGUAGGAAUUCUUCUUCGAUGGGUUCUAGUGCAGUGUGCUUGAUGCCGGCUUUUACGUAGAUUGCUACUCCACCUCUUCUGCUGACAGAAGGGUGUGACGCCGCAUAUCUUACGUAUCCAUUUAUAGUAAGACUGUCAGAUAUAGUGGUGUUAGUGUUGACAUGUUUGGCUAUACGGGUCUCUAUAAUCAUCAUUAUGUCAACAUUGUGUCGCUGCAUGAAAAACUCUAGUUCUAAGAUUUUAUUCCUG
Molecule: long non-coding RNA, 583 nt
Filed under: Drosophila guanche
Lineage: Eukaryota; Metazoa; Arthropoda; Insecta; Diptera; Drosophilidae
Source: RNAcentral